GACGAACGCUGGCGGCGUGCUUAACACAUGCAAGUCGAACGGAAAGGCCCCUUUGGGGGUACUCGAGUGGCGAACGGGUGCGUAACACGUGAGUAACCUGCCCUUGACUUCGGGAUAACUUCAGGAAACUGGGGCUAAUACCGGAUAGGAAUCCUUGCUGCAUGGUGGGGGUUGGAAAGCUUCGGCGGUUUUGGAUGGACUCGCGGCUUAUCAGCUUGUUGGUGGGGUAGUGGCUUACCAAGGCUUUGACGGGUAGCCGGCCUGAGAGGGCGACCGGCCACAUUGGGACUGAGAUACGGCCCAGACUCCUACGGGAGGCAGCAGGGGGGAAGAUUGAACAAGGGGCGGAAGCCGGAUGCAGCAACGCCGCGGGCGGGAUGACGGCCUUCGGGUUGUAAAACGCUUUCAGCAGGGGCGAAGCUUGUGGUGACGGUACCUGCAGAAGAAGCACCGGCUAACUACGUG
Molecule: ribosomal RNA, 465 nt
Filed under: uncultured bacterium
Lineage: Bacteria
Description: partial 16S ribosomal RNA
Rfam family: Bacterial small subunit ribosomal RNA
Source: RNAcentral